AGUGAACGCUGGCGGUAGGCCUAACACAUGCAAGUCGAACGGCAGCACAGUAAGAGCUUGCUCUUACGGGUGGCGAGUGGCGGACGGGUGAGGAAUACAUCGGAAUCUACUUUUUCGUGGGGGAUAACGUAGGGAAACUUACGCUAAUACCGCAUACGACCUACGGGUGAAAGCAGGGGAUCUUCGGACCUUGCGCGAUUGAAUGAGCCGAUGUCGGAUUAGCUAGUUGGCGGGGUAAAGGCCCACCAAGGCGACGAUCCGUAGCUGGUCUGAGAGGAUGAUCAGCCACACUGGAACUGAGACACGGUCCAGACUCCGACGGGAGGCAGCAGUGGGGAAUAUUGGACAAUGGGCGCAAGCCUGAUCCAGCCAUACUGCGUGGGUGAAGAAGGCCUUCGGGUUGUAAAGCCCUUUUGUUGGGAAAGAAAAGCAGCAGGUUAAUACCCCGCUGUUCUGACGGUACCCAAAGAAUAAGCACCGGCUAACUUCGUG
Molecule: ribosomal RNA, 492 nt
Filed under: uncultured bacterium
Lineage: Bacteria
Description: partial 16S ribosomal RNA
Rfam family: Bacterial small subunit ribosomal RNA
Source: RNAcentral